UGGGGAAUUUUGGACAAUGGGCGAAAGCCUGAUCCAGCAAUGCCGCGUGUGUGAAGAAGGCCUUCGGGUUGUAAAGCACUUUUGUCCGGAAAGAAAUCCUUGGCUCUAAUACAGUCGGGGGAUGACGGUACCGGAAGAAUAAGCACCGGCUAACUACGUGCCAGCAGCCGCGGUAAUACGUAGGGUGCAAGCGUUAAUCGGAAUUACUGGGCGUAAAGCGUGCGCAGACGGUUUGCUAAGACCGAUGUGAAAUCCCCGGGCUCAACCUGGGAACUGCAUUGGUGACUGGCAGGCUAGAGUAUGGCAGAGGGGGUAGGUAAUAUCCCACGUGUAGCAGUGAAAAUGCGUAGAGAUGUGGAGGAAUACCGAUGGCGAAGGCAGCCCCCUGGGCAAUACUGACGCUCAUGCACGAAAGCGUGGGGAGCAAACAGGAUUAGAUACCCUGGUAGUCCACGCCCUAAAACGAUGUCAACUAGUUGUUGGGGAUUCAUUUUCCUUAGUAACGUAGCUAACGCGUGAAGUUGACCGCCUGGGGAGUACGGUCGCAAGAUUAAAACUCAAAGGAAUUGACGGGGUCAUAGCUGUUUCCU
RNAcentral lists this ribosomal RNA (590 nucleotides) under uncultured bacterium. RNAcentral describes it as "partial 16S ribosomal RNA". It matches the Rfam family "Bacterial small subunit ribosomal RNA", at positions 355 to 1375 of the family's 1533-position model. The record is from RNAcentral.